Molecule: ribosomal RNA, 253 nt
Filed under: uncultured bacterium
Lineage: Bacteria
Description: partial 16S ribosomal RNA
Rfam family: Bacterial small subunit ribosomal RNA
Source: RNAcentral
GACAGAGGUGCCGAGCGUUAGGCGGAAUCACUGGGCUUAAAGCGUGUGUAGGCGGACCGUUAAGUACCUUGUGAAAUCCCACGGCUCAACCGUGGAACCGCUGGGUAUACUGGUUGUCUUGAGCCGGCUAGGGGCGAGCGGAACAGACGGUGGAGCGGUGAAAUGCGUAGAUAUCGUCUGGAACGCCGAAGGUGAAAACAGCUCGCUGGGGCCGCGCUGACGCUGAGACACGAAAGCCAGGGGAGCGAACGGG